RNAcentral lists this ribosomal RNA (460 nucleotides) under uncultured bacterium. RNAcentral describes it as "partial 16S ribosomal RNA". It matches the Rfam family "Bacterial small subunit ribosomal RNA", at positions 338 to 795 of the family's 1533-position model. The record is from RNAcentral.
CCUACGGGAGGCUGCAGUGAGGAAUAUUGGUCAAUGGACGGAAGUCUGAACCAGCCAUGCCGCGUGCAGGAAGACGGCUCUAUGAGUUGUAAACUGCUUUUGUACAAGGGUAAACCUGAAUACGUGUAUUCAGCUGAAAGUACUGUACGAAUAAGGAUCGGCUAACUCCGUGCCAGCAGCCGCGGUAAUACGGAGGAUCCAAGCGUUAUCCGGCUUUAUUGGGUUUAAAGGGUGCGUAGGCGGAUUGAUAAGUUAGAGGUGAAAUGUCCGAGCUUAACUCGGGAACUGCCUCUAAUACUGUUGAUCUAGAGAGUAGAUGCGGUAGGCGGAAUGUAUGGUGUAGCGGGGAAAUGCUUAGAGAUCAUACAGAACACCGAUUGCGAAGGCAGCUUACCAAUCUAUAUCUGACGUUGAGGCACGAAAGCGUGGGGAGCAAACAGGAUUAGAUACCCGAGUAGUC